UUAUCAAUAAGCACCAGAAAAAGAACCAUGAGAAUACUACAAUCUAGGAACGCAUCUGGUACACUUCCCCAAAGGAAGAAGGAAGGAAAACAUGUGACCUGCCAAGGUGGAAUCGGCAGAGUGCUAGGAGAUGACACGAUCAUUGCACAUCAGAGGAUUGCCUGGGCAACUUCAACUUGGGAGGGAGUCCAGGACUUUCUCUGGGGAAUGUCCACCCACUUGGCCAUCUACACAAGAUAUAAGAGAUGAAAGCCAGGAUAAUCUAACAGGAAAGAAACCAGUGUCUAGAGAGAAUGUAGCAGGCCAUUCAAAGUUCGAGGAGAAAGUUAGAAACCGACGAGAAAUCCAGAAAAAGGAAUACUAUCCUACCUGGAAAGGGGGAGGAGUCAGACUGGUCUGAGAUGGCUCUGAAACUCUGUGUGCAUGGAGGCUGUCAGGACAACUUAGAAUUUUGAGGUUGUUUAUGACAUCAUGGUGAACAUGGCCCCCAAGGUGGCCGCAUGGUUACAGUCUGAGGAUUGGCCUAGGCUAGGCUGUUAAAGGGAGAGAUACCCAGAAAGAGGUUUGACAAACAGAAAGCAGGCACAGAAACUGGAAGAAAUAAAACAGACUCUGAUUCAAGGGAUAAGAAAGGAAACCUUGGCGAGAAGCUAGAAUAGAGGGACAAGCAGUGAGAGGAGAACAUUGUCAUCUAUUCAAGUCUAUGGGGGAGGCCAUGCUGAUUCAAGUUUGAAACUUGAUUGGAAACAAGAGGCCGGACUUUGGCCUUAUCAGACCUACGUUGUCUUUCCGCCUUAAGCAUAAUCCAAAGUCAAGAAUGAUGUCUUGAGGACAUUGAAGAGAAGAAUCGACGCCUCCUUUCCUAGGCGCCUAGCAUUCUUUGAAGAUCAGUCUCACUUUCCAUAGCUCUGGCGUCACAGGGGCCCACUGGGUACAUGCUAAUGUGUCCCAAGAGAUGUCUUGGAAGCCUUGAAGGAAUGGACCCCUGUCAUGCUUGGGGUAUGUCUCUUUGUUUGGAAGGGCUCUACAUGAGUGCUGAAAAUCCCCCUUUUCCAGAGGGCUUCGUUCCUUUGUGAAGGCUGCCCUCCCAGGCUAGAGUGCUCAGUUUGGCUCCAAUGAAAUUCUCUCCCCCUACCUCUUGCCGUAGAAGGAUUAUUGAUUAUGUGUUUUGACGCCAUAUGUAAGGAAGUUGGCUGAAAAUUAGAACAUUACAAUUCUGUUUCAAGAAAAAUAAAUAUGCCAGGGCUGAGGACGUAAGUCAAAGAAAUGGCACAGCCUAUAGAAAUAAAGUAAGCCCGUAUAUAGGCGGAGUCUAGGGGAACGUUCAAGGAUCAGGG
This 1337-nucleotide long non-coding RNA is filed under the name Equus caballus (horse). Its description in RNAcentral is "lncRNA (ENSECAG00000054909.1)". The record is from RNAcentral. Lineage: Eukaryota; Metazoa; Chordata; Mammalia; Perissodactyla; Equidae.